RNAcentral lists this unclassified non-coding RNA (201 nucleotides) under plant metagenome. RNAcentral describes it as "partial contains small subunit ribosomal RNA and internal transcribed spacer 1". The stretch from base 1 to 46 matches the Rfam family "Eukaryotic small subunit ribosomal RNA", at positions 1786 to 1831 of the family's 1831-position model. The record is from RNAcentral.
AAGUCGUAACAAGGUCUCCGUAGGUGAACCUGCGGAGGGAUCAUUAAUAGAGAUGGGUGGCACCCCCCGCGUCCCCCGUCCCCCAACCCUUUGUUGACCAAACCACUUUUUGCCUCGGGGGGUAGAGCGGCCUCCGCCGCCCCCCGGUGGACCAACCAACCCUGUCUCUGUACGUCGGAGUCUUUGAUAAAUAAAUGAAAA